GCAUAAUAAAUAGUUUUUUAAUUGGGAACUGGAAUGAAGGGUUAAAACUAAAAAGAAAGUUUUAUUUAUUGAAUUUGAAAUUAAAUUAAAAGUAAAAAUGCUUUUAUGAAGCUUUGGGACGAGAAGACCCUAGAAGCUUAAAAUUAAGAAUUUUUUAUUGGGGUAAUAUUUGAAGAUAACAAUUUUUGGAAAAUUUAAAAAGUAGUUUAUAUAAAGUUACUCUAGGGAUAACAGCAUUAUUUAAUUAACAAGUUCUUAUUAAUAAUUAAGUUUGUGACCUCGAUGUUGAAUUAAUUUUUAUUUAUGGUGAAGAAGCUAUAAGAGGGUAGUCUGUUCGACUAUUAAAAGCUUACAUGAUUU
This 360-nucleotide ribosomal RNA is filed under the name Mischonyx insulanus. Its description in RNAcentral is "partial large subunit ribosomal RNA". The stretch from base 85 to 360 matches the Rfam family "Bacterial large subunit ribosomal RNA", at positions 2046 to 2606 of the family's 2925-position model. Lineage: Eukaryota; Metazoa; Arthropoda; Arachnida; Opiliones; Gonyleptidae. The record is from RNAcentral.